GGCCAGCCUACAGAGCGGACUACAGAGCGAGACCCUGUCUCCAAAAGCAAGCAAGCAAACAACAGUUAAGAGACUAAGAUGAGAGAGCGGACUCUAGCUGCAGGUCACCGCAUCUUAGGCUCCUGCUAUCUGGACACCUGGAGAAACUGGCUGCCGGAGAGCGCGGGAGUCGGAGCGCGCCGGUGGGUCUUGUUCACUAGAGUGUUUGUGGACGCUGGGCCCCUAAAGAGCUGCCUCCACGGGCGUGCAUCCCAGAGCCAUGCACCGUCCUCUCGUGUAAGCUGGUUCCCUUCCGCGGGACUGCAGGUGGGUUCCGGUCUUUGCUGUUUCGAACAGCGCUCCUCAGAGCCACGUCUGCAUCUACGUAUUUGGGUCCCCCGAACACGUUCUCAGAGGUGCAGGUGUGAGGGCAAAGGGCACGCUCAUUUAAGAUUCUGAUCACAUCUGCAACGCGUUCAACUCGAGACCCCGGAGGUUCUGUCUUCCGGGCGACGAGGGGAUCACUCCCGCGGCCGCUCCGGCGGGGUCCGCCUGCACCUCCGGGCGCGGGCGGGCGGCAUCGCUUCCCCGGAAUCGGCGGUGUCGGACCCAGCCCGCGGCCCCGGGGCUGCGCCGCCUCCCCCGGAACUCUCGGGUUCCUGGAACCGGGCUCGGUGACCUCAAGCCAGUGACUUCACGUCCGGGACCUUCUGGGAAUUCUCGGCCUCAGCUUUUCAUUUUACAAGAAGUUAAAGCAUUUUUAUUGGCCCCUAAAAAUAUUGUGGGCCUUAGGAACCACAACUACUGCAUCUCAUGGGAAGCUGGCCUUGGGCAAAAGUGGGCUGGGAAGAAUAUGAAAGACCUGGAGAGGACAACCUGGAGAGGAAUGGGGAUGAGGAGAGAAGAAACUGUGUGUGCUGCAGGGCACUGGCGACCACAAAUGGAAUGUCCUUCAUGAAUAACAAAGCAGGAAG
Long non-coding RNA from Chinchilla lanigera (long-tailed chinchilla), 953 nucleotides. RefSeq lists it as uncharacterized. The record is from RefSeq and is a predicted model, not a curated record. Lineage: Eukaryota; Metazoa; Chordata; Mammalia; Rodentia; Chinchillidae. The transcript is spliced from 3 exons.